RNAcentral lists this ribosomal RNA (607 nucleotides) under Streptococcus mitis. RNAcentral's name for it is "bacterial SSU rRNA". It matches the Rfam family "Bacterial small subunit ribosomal RNA", at positions 80 to 679 of the family's 1533-position model. Lineage: Bacteria; Bacillati; Bacillota; Bacilli; Lactobacillales; Streptococcaceae. The record is from RNAcentral.
UGCUUCUCUGGAUGAGUUGCGAACGGGUGUGUAUCGCGUAUGUCCCUGCCUGGUCCGGGGGGAUCUAUUGGAAAACCGUUGCUUACCGCAUAUAAGAAUCUGUUGCAUGACAUUUGCUUAAUGAGUGGUGUUGUCUCUCUACCAGAUGGACCUGAGUUGUAUUAUCUAGUUGGAGGGGUAACGGCUCAGCGUGGCGACCAUCCAUAGCCGACCUGAGAGGGUGAUCUGACACGCUGAGACUGAGACACGGCCCUGACUCCUACGGGAGGCUCCUAUAGGGAAUCUUCGGCAAUGGACGGAAGUCUGACCGAGCAACGCCACGUGAGUGAAGAAGGUUUUCGGAUCGUGUCUCUCUAUUGUAAAACUCUAACGAUUGUGACAAUGGAAUUUUCUCACUGUGACGGUAUCUUACCACAGAGGGACAGCUAACUACCUGCCAUCACCCGCGGCCAUACGUAGGUCCCGAGCGUUGUCCGGAUUUAUUGUCCGUAAUUCGAGCGCAUGCGGUUAGAUCAGUCUGACGUUCAAGGCUGUGGCUUAACCAUAGUACUCUUUGGAGACUGUUUAUCUUGACUGCUAGAGUGGAGAGUGGAAUUCCAUGUGUGAC